Molecule: small nuclear RNA, 106 nt
Filed under: Phascolarctos cinereus (koala)
Lineage: Eukaryota; Metazoa; Chordata; Mammalia; Diprotodontia; Phascolarctidae
Source: RNAcentral
GUGCUUACUUCAAGCACAUAUAUUAAAAUUGAAACUCUAAAGAGAAGAUUAGCAUGGCCCCUUGGGCAGGGAUGACAUGCAAAUUCAUGAAGCCUUCCAUAUUUUU